This 270-nucleotide ribosomal RNA is filed under the name uncultured archaeon. RNAcentral's name for it is "partial 16S ribosomal RNA". It matches the Rfam family "Archaeal small subunit ribosomal RNA", at positions 477 to 747 of the family's 1478-position model. The record is from RNAcentral.
CUGCAGCCCGAGUGGUGAUCGAUUUUAUCGAGCCUAAAGCGUCCGUAGCCGGACUAGUAAACCCUUGGGUAAAUUGGGCAGCUUAACUGUCCGAAUUCCGAGGGGACUGCUAGUCUUGGGACCGGGAGAGGUCAGAGGUACUCCAGGGGUAGGGGCUAAAUCCUGUAAUCCUUUGGGGACCACCAGUGGCGAAGGCGUCUGACUAGAACGGAUCCGACGGUAAGGGACGAAACCCUGGGGCGCGAACCGGAUUAGAGACCCGAGUAGUCC